AAAAGCAAAAAGAAGAAAGAACCCAAAUUAAUUCAUCAAAUCCAAAAUAUCAAACACAAGGAAUUUUUUGAUAAAUUUAAACUUGCUUUUAUUAUUCUCUUACAUCGAUUUAUCUUACAAGGAUCCAAUAUGUAUUCAUUUGAUGCUGAUAAAUAUUUAUAUUUUCAGAUUCACUAUACGUCAAGAAAAGCAUUAAGAUUCAAAUAUUGUCUUAUUAAAUAUCUUUAAUAAUUUCGGUAAAAGGUAUUGCAAAGCUAAAAUUGACAAUUUAUUAAAAGUGUUCUUGUCAUCAGUGACAUCAACAUCAGUGAUUAAUCGAAAUUAAUCGUGCCUUCGUUGCAGAUGAGAUUAUACUCGUAGAUGAAUGUUCUCAACGAGGACAGUGGGUCGACAAUCUGUAAACGUUUCUCAACUUUGCCGUGACUACAUAUGAAGUGUACAAAUACCAAUAUUAUUGUGUCUUAGCCGCAUUUCGUCCUCAAUUUCACUUAAGUACACAAUAUUAAUGCUUAUGCAAAGGCUGAAUACUUUUUAUACUCGCAGAAUAUUAUGAUUAGAUUAUUUAAUGUAGUAGAAUAGAGUAUCUUUUACAUGUUAUGAAUGUUAUGUUCUGUUUGUUAUGUUAUGUUUUGAAUGUUAUAUAAUAUUUAUGUAUUAUUUGAGGUCCAAAGAUUUAAUGCUGAAUGUUAAUUAAGUUUUAUAUCACAAUUAGUCAGUUCAUAGAAAAUGAAUCCAUCCAAGGAUAUAUUAAGCAAUAUGAACAGUAUUAUCAAAAUAGAAAAAUUACAGAAACGUUAUAAUACAUUUAAUACAGAAUUAAAAUAUGCUGAUAUUGUAAUAAAUAUACGUACAUACAUAUUUAUAACUUUUUCUUAAUAAUUUUUUUUCAUUACAAUAGUAAUAUGAAACAUCCGCACAUAUCUACAAUAAUUCUUCUCUUUCUUCUUUUUAUUAAAAAUAUCAAUUUCCAUAACUGAAAAUAAAUAAUAUCUUUAUUUUCAGAUUAACUUUAAAGUCUGCAUGAACACUUGGAUACCCAUAUGUUUCACCACUGAUAUGUUCCCAUCGUAACACCCCAUAAUGAUUUGGGGACUGGAGAAUCCUCCAAUUAUGAUGACACGGAUCUAAUGGAAACUGAUUACGUUACGUGGACAGGACAACGUGACUUUUUUUUUCUUAAUCCAACAUUAAUCGUUGCUCGUUGAAGUAACCGUUCAAAUAAAUUGACCCGCAGGAAUUCCGGUCGCUUUAACGAGCGAGUUAGGGGGUAGAUCAAUUAAACGUUAUGAAACGAUGCCGUUUCUUUGCCAGGCAUGUAUCCGUCGUGUCCAUGGCAAGGAUUUACCUUGAGUUUCUUUCUUUGCCAGACAUUCAUGACCAAAGCAUUUUAUUUCUUUUUUUCUCCUUGACAUAUUGAUCAAACGUUCUACUUUGUCUGUUGCGUUGUAAUUUAUCCGGUAAGGAUAUAAGACUAUCAAUAUUUAAAUGUCGUAUCAUCUUUAAACUGUCACAUAACUCCGAUAACGCAAAAUUAAUUUCCAUUCAUGAUUGCGUUUUUAUUUAUACUAAUUAAAACCAAUUGUUACAUUUAUCAAUAUUUAUUAACUGUAUACAGUUGCCUGGGAUAAGAUUAGAAGCAAAAAUUGGAUUAAAGAGCUUCAUUUAAAGUACCAAAACAUACCCAAGUACUUACUCAUCUAUCAAUAAGAAAGAUUGCAGUUCAGUUCAAGAUGUUUAUUGAGAGAUUGAAAGAUUGAGAAAUUAUUUUUAGAGUAGCAAGAUACUACAAGAUAAAUGACAAUUGAAAGUAUUAAUAAAUAUGACUACGUGCGUUUGCAUCUCCAUCAACAAUCAUCUUUCUAAGCUGGCAAGACAAUCAGACCAGAGAAGGUCCAUGAAUCAAUCCUUGUGUACGUCAAAUUGAUCUAGUCCCCUUUGUAUUUUUGUAUAAUUUACUUUGUAAUUUAAAUAAUGUAAUAUUCAUAUAUAUCAUAACAAAAUACAGAACUUCUUUUGCCACGUA
Long non-coding RNA from Bombus terrestris (buff-tailed bumblebee), 2023 nucleotides. RefSeq lists it as uncharacterized. The transcript is spliced from 2 exons. NCBI's taxonomy places the organism in Eukaryota, Metazoa, Arthropoda, Insecta, Hymenoptera, Apidae. The record is from RefSeq and is a predicted model, not a curated record.